UCAGUCGACUCCUACGGGGAGGCAGCAGUGGGGAAUAUUGCACAAUGGGGGAAACCCUGAUGCAGCCAUGCCGCGUGUGUGAAGAAGGCCUUCGGGUUGUAAAGCACUUUCAGUAGGGAGGAAGGUAGUGUAGUUAACACCUGCACUAUUUGACGUUACCUACAGAAGAAGCACCGGCUAACUCCGUGCCAGCAGUCGCGGUAAUACGGAGGGUGCGAGCGUUAAUCGGAAUUACUGGGCGUAAAGCGCAUGCAGGCGGCCUGUUAAGUCAGAUGUGAAAGCCCGGGGCUUAACCUCGGAAUUGCAUUUGAAACUGGCAGGCUAGAGUCUUGUAGAGGGGGGUAGGAAUUUCAGGUGUAGCGGUGAAAUGCGUAGAGAUCUGAAGGAAUACCAGUGGCGAAGGCGGCCCCCUGGACAAAGACUGACGCUCAGAUGCGAAAGCGUGGGGAGCAAACAGGAUUAGAUACCCUGGUAG
This 475-nucleotide ribosomal RNA is filed under the name uncultured bacterium. RNAcentral describes it as "bacterial SSU rRNA". It matches the Rfam family "Bacterial small subunit ribosomal RNA", at positions 328 to 793 of the family's 1533-position model. The record is from RNAcentral.